UGGGGAAUAUUGCACAAUGGGGGAAACCCUGAUGCAGCGACGCCGCGUGAGCGAAGAAGGUUUUCGAAUCGUAAAGCUCUGUCCUAUGAGAAGAUAAUGACGGUAUCAUAGGAGGAAGCCCCGUCUAAAUACGUGCCAGCAGCCGCGGUAAUACGUAUGGGGCGAGCGUUGUCCGGAAUUAUUGGGCGUAAAGGGCGUGUAGGCGGCUAGAUAAGUGUGAUGUUUAAAUCCAAGGCUUAACCUUGGGGUUCAUUACAAACUGUUUAGCUUGAGUGCUGGAGAGGAUAGUGGAAUUCCUAGUGUAGCGGUAAAAUGCGUAGAUAUUAGGAGGAACACCGGUGGCGAAGGCGGCUAUCUGGACAGUAACUGACGCUGAGGCGCGAAAGCGUGGGGAGCAAACAGG
This 403-nucleotide ribosomal RNA is filed under the name Verrucomicrobiota bacterium. RNAcentral's name for it is "Verrucomicrobia bacterium partial 16S ribosomal RNA". It matches the Rfam family "Bacterial small subunit ribosomal RNA", at positions 355 to 776 of the family's 1533-position model. Lineage: Bacteria; Pseudomonadati; Verrucomicrobiota. The record is from RNAcentral.